GCCGGGCUAGCUCAAUCGGUAGAGCGUGUGGCUUUUACAGCAAACACGGUCUGAGAUCACCACAAGGCUGCGAGUUCGAGCCUCGCGUUCGGCU
Trichophyton interdigitale MR816 is the source of this 94-nucleotide transfer RNA. It matches the Rfam family "tRNA". From Rfam's summary of the family: Transfer RNA (tRNA) molecules are approximately 80 nucleotides in length. The record is from Rfam. NCBI's taxonomy places the organism in Eukaryota, Fungi, Ascomycota, Eurotiomycetes, Onygenales, Arthrodermataceae.